This 235-nucleotide ribosomal RNA is filed under the name uncultured bacterium. RNAcentral's name for it is "partial 16S ribosomal RNA". It matches the Rfam family "Bacterial small subunit ribosomal RNA", at positions 1266 to 1500 of the family's 1533-position model. The record is from RNAcentral.
AGCAAAUCUCUUAAAGCCGUUCUCAGUUCGGAUUGUAGGCUGCAACUCGCCUACAUGAAGUCGGAAUCGCUAGUAAUCGCGGAUCAGCAUGCCGCGGUGAAUACGUUCCCGGGCCUUGUACACACCGCCCGUCACACCAUGAGAGUUUGUAACACCCAAAGCCGGUGGGGUAACCUUUUGGAGCCAGCCGUCUAAGGUGGGACAGAUGAUUAGGGUGAAGUCGUAACAAGGUACC